UCUAGAACUGCAAGAAAGAUUUAUGGCAUAGUCUAGUCAAGGAAAUGCUUUGGAAAUUAUCACACAAGCAGCACAAAAGACAAGAGCACUCUCUUCACUGUGUCCAUCAGACCAAAAGUGUGAGC
Non-coding RNA from Pantherophis guttatus, 125 nucleotides. The record is from RefSeq and is a predicted model, not a curated record. Lineage: Eukaryota; Metazoa; Chordata; Lepidosauria; Squamata; Colubridae.